RNAcentral lists this ribosomal RNA (267 nucleotides) under uncultured bacterium. RNAcentral describes it as "partial 16S ribosomal RNA". It matches the Rfam family "Bacterial small subunit ribosomal RNA", at positions 524 to 790 of the family's 1533-position model. The record is from RNAcentral.
UACGGAGGAUCCAAGCGUUAUCCGGAAUCAUUGGGUUUAAAGGGUUCGUAGGCGGUAGAGUAAGUCAGUGGUGAAAGUUUGCAGCUUAACUGUAAAAUUGCCAUUGAUACUGCUUUACUUGAAUUACUUAGAAGUUACUAGAAUAUGUAGUGUAGCGGUGAAAUGCUUAGAUAUUACAUGGAAUACCAAUUGCGAAGGCAGGUAACUAUGAAAUGAUUGACGCUGAUGGACGAAAGCGUGGGUAGCGAACAGGAUUAGAUACCCCCG